UUGAAUGCAGUUGAGGUAGGCGGAAUGUGUAAUGUAGCGGUGAAAUGCUUAGAUAUUACACAGAACACCGAUUGCGAAGGCAGCUUACUAAACUGUGAUUGACGCUGAGGCACGAAAGCGUGGGGAGCAAACAGGAUUAGAUACCCUGGUAGUCCACGCCGUAAACUAUGAUCACUCGCUGUUGGCGAUAAAUUGUCAGCGGCUGAGCGAAAGCAUUAAGUGAUCCACCUGGGGAGUACGAUCGCAAGGUUGAAACUCAAAGGAAUUGACGGGGGCCCGCACAAGCGGAGGAACAUGUGGUUUAAUUCGAUGAUACGCGAGGAACCUUACCUGGGCUUAAAUGUAGAGCGACAGACUGGGAAACUGGUCCUUCUUCGGACGAUCUACAAGGUGCUGCACGGUUGUCGUCAGCUCGUGCCGUAAGGUGUCGGGUUAAGUCCCAUAACGAGCGCAACCCUUAUCGUUAGUUGCCAGCGGGUAAUGCCGGGGACUCUAACGAAACUGCCGGUGUAAACCGUGAGGAAGGUGGGGAUGACGUCAAAUCAGCACGGCCCUUAUGUCCAGGGCGACACACGUGUUACAACGGCCGGUACAGAGGGCAGCUACCUGGUGACAGGAUGCUAAUCUCCAAAACCGGUCUCAGUUCGGAUCGAAGUCUGCAACUCGACUUCGUGAAGCUGGAUUCGCUAGUAAUCGCGCAUCAGCCAUGGCGCGGUGAAUACGUUCCCGGGCCUUGUACACACCGCCCGUCUAGCCAUGGAAGCUGGGGGUACCUGAAGUCCGUAACCGCAAGGAGCGGCCUAGGGUAAAACUAGUAACUGGGGUUUAGUCGUAACAAGGUA
This 842-nucleotide ribosomal RNA is filed under the name uncultured bacterium. RNAcentral's name for it is "bacterial SSU rRNA". It matches the Rfam family "Bacterial small subunit ribosomal RNA", at positions 642 to 1498 of the family's 1533-position model. The record is from RNAcentral.